CACUUUUGCCUUUUUAUGUAUUUAUUUUUUGCCCGCAGUAUCAGUUACAAGCUGACAUGACUCAUUCUCAUCAUCGGCCGUCACGUGUCAGCAGAUUUAACCGGCAACGGUAACUCAUGAGACGGACGCUCACCACAAAUGUGAGCUGGGACUGGAUCCAAAGCCACCCCCCACCUCCAGCCCUGCCUGAGCCCAGGAGAUGUUCCAGUUCCCUUAUCUUCCGUGUUUCUCCGUGCCGGACAGCUAUUUAUAAACCAUACCAUCAGCAUCGCAGAGGUGGGACACUGGAAAAUGGACUGCGGCAGGAUGAUGCCGACACUGAUAUCGUUCCUCAGCUUGUUGCCGUUCGCCGAAAUGCUCAUGGGGAAGGAUUGUUUAAUUUGCCCGAAUCCGACAGUCAGUACAAAAGAAGGAGAUGACGUUGUUCUUCAGUGUCAUGCACAUCCCAUAGUCAACUUAUCUUCCUACACAGUGGAUGUGAAGAGAACUGGCCACAAAGGUGUGGUGCAUGCAUAUCGACAUGGACACGACCAUCCUCACGACAAGAUGGAUGAGUACGUAAACAGGACGACCCUCAUCCAUGAAGACCUGAGCAAAGGGCUCGUGACACUGCGGAUCUCCUCAGUGAAGCAGUCUGACAGUGGUGCAUACAAAAUCUAUGUCCCAAAAACCAAGUGCAGUUUCAUUAUAAACAUCACUGUUGGUGCUGCAAAGACAGAACCUGUCUGGAUCAUUGUCACUGGCAGUUUCAUCGGUGCUGUUCUCAUUGCUGCUGCUGUUGCUGUUUCUAUCCUGGUGAAACGAGGAAAGAUCCCUUUAAGAAGAUGCUCCAGAUGCUCCGGAGAAGGAAGGAAGGAGGGAGAAGCAGAGACACCGUGAAGCAGUGAACUGACACCACUGCAGAAAGUGGCCUCAGAGAAGUGGCGCACUUGUGUGUGACAAACGGGGAGUAAAAGGAUUUAUAUAUAGUUUAUAUUUAGUCUGGAAUUUAUCCUAUCAUAUCAUUGUUAGUGCAUGUAGUGAAGAAGUGGGAUGGGACACACUCUGUAUUGGUAGUCAGUAUUUCUAACUCUAGUGCACUGAUACAGUCUCAUUCAUAAAGAAACACUAUGCCCCUUGAUAGGCUACAUAGAAUAACACCCAACAGAACAUACAGAACAACAACUACUGAUAAUAACUAUUCUAUAAAGAUGAUCAGGGAUUCAUAGUAUUAUUAUUACUCUUACUUAAUGAGCUUAUCAUUGCUAUCAUACUGAUUUUUAAAAAAUAUAUAUAUAAUUAACUUAAUUUCUAAGUAUUUAUUGCACACCCACAGUGAGGUGACAUAAGAUUAUGUAAUACAAUUAGGUGCAAGCUCUGAGAGUUUAAAAUGGUUUUCUAAUGCACGAGUCCACAACACUGUCAUGUAUGUGCCAGAUAUGUUUUCUGUCCUGCUAUUUCAGCUCAGUUACACGAUAUGCAAAAGCCUCUCCGCAGCUAUUCUGAUUCAGGUUUUCUCUUUUUUAAAUUAAAAUUUUUUUUUUUUACUUAAAGCCUUUUUACUUGAGUCACCAAAGAAAUCAAUGUUCAAAGCUAUAUGCAGAGGGUGAAGUAAUGCGUGGGAGUUCUUAGGGAUGGGUGGGUGUGUUGGAGGGAGGGAUGCAGGUGCUGAUCUGGCAUCUACGUGAUCACCCUUCUGUACGUUGUUGGUUACUAAUAAAAAGUAAUGUUGAAUAAAUUAAUGACAUUAAGUUAAUAAACUUAUUUAUAAAAUUUAAGUUGUCAUUGUGGUAAUUGUUGUACAGCCUCUUUGCCAUUGUGUUUAUCUGAGUUUGGUCCUCACCAGGGC
Molecule: long non-coding RNA, 1828 nt
Filed under: Sparus aurata (gilthead seabream)
Lineage: Eukaryota; Metazoa; Chordata; Actinopteri; Spariformes; Sparidae
Description: lncRNA (ENSSAUG00010021432.1)
Source: RNAcentral